UACGUAGGUGGCAAGCGUUGUCCGGAUUUACUGGGCGUAAAGAGCGCGCAGGCGGUCGUUCAAGUCGCGUGUGAAAGCCCCCGGCUCAACUGGGGAGGGUCACGCGAUACUGAUCGACUCGAAGGCAGGAGAGGGAAGUGGAAUUCCCGGUGUAGUGGUGAAAUGCGUAGAUAUCGGGAGGAACACCGAUGGCGAAGGCAGCCCCCUGGGCUGAGAUUGACGCUCAGGCACGAAAGCGUGGGGAGCAAACAGG
RNAcentral lists this ribosomal RNA (253 nucleotides) under uncultured bacterium. RNAcentral describes it as "partial 16S ribosomal RNA". It matches the Rfam family "Bacterial small subunit ribosomal RNA", at positions 524 to 776 of the family's 1533-position model. The record is from RNAcentral.